UUUCUGCUCAAAAUCUUUUCAGGUGUUGUUUUUCUCACUUCUACACAUCCUCCCCUCCUCAGUGUCAGAGGUCAGGGGUCAGCCACACAUUCUGCUGUCGGUGUAGGUCUACACAUCCUCCCCUCCUCAGUGUCAGGGGUCAGCCACACAGUCUACUGUAGGUGUAGGUCUACACAUCCUCUCCUCCUCAGUGUCAGGGGUCAGCCACACAGUCUACUGUCGGUGUAGGUCUACACAUCCUCCCCUCCUCAGUGUCAGAGGUCAGGGGUCAGCCACACAUUCUGCUGUCGGUGUAGGUCUACACAUCCUCCCCUCCUCAGUGUCAGAGGUCAGGGGUCAGCCACACAUUCUGCUGUCGGUGUAGGUCUACACAUUCUCCCCUCCUCAGUGUCAGGAGUCAGGGGUCAGCCACACAGUCUACUGUAGGUGUAGGUCUACACAUCCUCCCCUCCUCAGUGUCAGGGGUCAGGGGUCAGCCACACAGUCUUCUGUAGGUGUAGGUCUACACAUCCUCCCCUCCUCAGUGUCAGGGGUCAGCCACACAGUCUACUGUAGGUGUAGGUCUACACAUCCUCCCCUCCUCAGUGUCAGAGGUCAGGGGUCAGCCACACAGUCU
This 616-nucleotide long non-coding RNA is filed under the name Salmo salar (Atlantic salmon). RNAcentral describes it as "lncRNA (ENSSSAG00000097770.1)". Lineage: Eukaryota; Metazoa; Chordata; Actinopteri; Salmoniformes; Salmonidae. The record is from RNAcentral.